UACGAGGGGCGCAAGCGUUGUCCGGAAUCACUGGGCGUAAAGGGUGUGUAGGCUGAAAGGCUAGUUGGAAGUGAAAUGUCCCGGCUCAACCGGGGACCUGCUUCCAAUACUUCCUUUCUUGAGACAUGCAGGGGAAGACGGAAUUCCUGGUGUAGCGGUGAAAUGCGUAGAUAUCAGGAAGAACACCGGUGGCGAAGGCGGUCUUCUGGGCAUGUACUGACGCUGAAACACGAAAGCGUGGGGAGCAAACAGG
RNAcentral lists this ribosomal RNA (253 nucleotides) under uncultured bacterium. RNAcentral's name for it is "partial 16S ribosomal RNA". It matches the Rfam family "Bacterial small subunit ribosomal RNA", at positions 524 to 776 of the family's 1533-position model. The record is from RNAcentral.